RNAcentral lists this transfer RNA (69 nucleotides) under Stutzerimonas stutzeri. RNAcentral describes it as "Pseudomonas stutzeri tRNA-Arg". Lineage: Bacteria; Pseudomonadati; Pseudomonadota; Gammaproteobacteria; Pseudomonadales; Pseudomonadaceae. The record is from RNAcentral.
GCACCAGUAGCUCAGCUGGAUAGAGUACUGCCCUCCGAAGGCAGUGAUCAUCGAGUUGAGAAGGGUGCA